Molecule: non-coding RNA, 72 nt
Organism: Aedes aegypti (yellow fever mosquito)
Lineage: Eukaryota; Metazoa; Arthropoda; Insecta; Diptera; Culicidae
Source: Rfam
GGCUCAGUAGCUUAGUUGGUAGAGCACCCGUCUAGCAUACAAGAGUCCUGGGUUUGAAUCCCAGCUGAGCAU